UCUGUCCAAGUAUCAUGUGAAACUGUCCCUGCUUCAAUCUGACAAUAUUGGUAUGCAGUUUUGUGGCUACAAAGGGCCUUCUAGACCUCCAAAAAUCCCACAACCAAGCUUGUGUAUAUUCUACUUGUUUAGAGAGAAGAGAUAAAGCUUCUUUAUUAGUACAGAAUGAGAUGAAACUGAAGAUUGUGAAUUAAUGGAGGAAAUUCAGUGGGCUUGACUUAAUCAGAUAAAAGUGGGUAUGUUGGUCUCGUGACUAAAUUAAUCACUUCAGUUAGUGAAAAGUUCUAUACAUCACCAUGUUGCCUUUUGGAAGUGCCUAGCAGUGACAUAACAAAGGAUACAAUGAUAGAGAGUCUUUGUACUAUCUGAACUUGUCUCAGCGUUUUCUAAGAAGGAAAUUGAAAGAUGAGGUAUAUUCUUCAUACUUCGAUCUUACUGCAUUGUGGACGCCCAGGGUUCCUUCAGAAGAGGGUUGCCUUUAGAUUUGGACUCCUCUGUAGGACUCUUUCUGAUUCCCAAGGGAAUACUGGAGAUGGGGGUAAUAUGACUUUUAGGUCACGCGGUGCUUUUGGUAUUAGCAGUUACUACUGCAAGGAAGAAGCUCAUAAGAAUGGAUUCCAGCUAGUAUGGGAUGAGCAGACAGAGGCUCUACACGGAAGCAGACUCCAGAUGCUUGCCUGUAUGGUGCAUGACCUUUGCUUAGUUGUUCAAGGGUAGCAUGAAAGGUGGAUGCAUUUGAAAGCAUUAACAUUCCUCCACAUCUUCUGAAUAAAUUUGCUAUUUUAUAGGAGUUAAUUUUGUUUAAAUUCCUUCGUGUUGUUUCCUUUCCCAGUCCCCACCACUUAGGAGGUCAGCAGAAAGCUACGGCUUGCCUCAUAUUUAUUCAGUGACUUUUUCAGAUGAGCACCAGUCUCUUCAUACUUCACACGUUUAACCCCUUACUUUGGGUAGAACUUUGCUUCUAGAUUUGGAGAUAAGUCACUGUUAGUGU
Molecule: long non-coding RNA, 991 nt
Organism: Cygnus olor (mute swan)
Lineage: Eukaryota; Metazoa; Chordata; Aves; Anseriformes; Anatidae
Exons: 3
Source: RefSeq, a predicted model, not a curated record